AGUAAUGUCUGGGAAACUGCCUGAUGGAGGGGGAUAACUACUGGAAACGGUAGCUAAUACCGCAUAACGUCGCAAGACCAAAGAGGGGGACCUUCGGGCCUCUUGCCAUCGGAUGUGCCCAGAUGGGAUUAGCUAGUAGGUGGGGUAACGGCUCACCUAGGCGACGAUCCCUAGCUGGUCUGAGAGGAUGACCAGCCACACUGGAACUGAGACACGGUCCAGACUCCUACGGGAGGCAGCAGUGGGGAAUAUUGCACAAUGGGCGCAAGCCUGAUGCAGCCAUGCCGCGUGUAUGAAGAAGGCCUUCGGGUUGUAAAGUACUUUCAGCGGGGAGGAAGGCGACAGGGUUAAUAACCCUGUCGAUUGACGUUACCCGCAGAAGAAGCACCGGCUAACUCCGUGCCAGCAGCCGCGGUAAUACGGAGGGUGCAAGCGUUAAUCGGAAUUACUGGGCGUAAAGCGCACGCAGGCGGUCUGUCAAGUCGGAUGGAUCCCCGGUACCCCC
This 505-nucleotide ribosomal RNA is filed under the name Enterobacter sp. DGH3. RNAcentral's name for it is "bacterial SSU rRNA". It matches the Rfam family "Bacterial small subunit ribosomal RNA", at positions 109 to 614 of the family's 1533-position model. The record is from RNAcentral. Lineage: Bacteria; Pseudomonadati; Pseudomonadota; Gammaproteobacteria; Enterobacterales; Enterobacteriaceae.